GUGGCCCAAAUCUCCUAUCAAUAUUCCUCAGCCCAAUACCUAAACUGCCCUAAUCCAGUACUCUUUUUCAGUUGGCCCAAACCAAAUACCUAACCUGGCCUAUUUUCCCCUUUUCCUCUUCCAUAUCAGAAAAAACUGCUUGAAUGAUUGAGAGAGGUUGGUCCUAAGAUCGCGACAAAACCAGCAAACCCUUCUUGACUAGCCUCGAACCAAUGCGUGACCUGCUCUUCCUUAGCCUUCACCACGCGUCUCGCGCAAACCCGUUCGUGAAAGCCAGGAAGCUUUCAAAAAUUGGUGAGAUGGCUCAUCCAAUGAAUCGAUUCUGCAAAUAUCAAGUACCAUGGUAUGAAUUCAUACCUAUAUGGUCGAUUCACAUUGGUUUGGGGUAUGUCUUAUUUUCCCCGAUGGGUUAUUAGUCCACCCAUUCAAAUUUGUUGAAGAAAAAACCAACUAAGGGUAUAGUUUGUGAGAGAGAGGAUCUUUUGGGGGGAUUCAAAAACUCAACCCCCAAUCCCCUUCUAUAUGAACCCCUUUGGAGAGCAAGAAAAAGGGGGGAUCAAGAAAAAGGGUCUGAAAUUUGAGGGUUUAGAAAUUGUGUUUAGAAAAAGCUUUAGGAACUCGAAUUCUGUUUCUUAGAAAUUUUAGGUUUUCGAAAUUGUUAGGGAGAGAUUCGAGGGUUUAAGAGGGAAAUAUUUUGAGUGAGUUUCUAAUUCAAAAACAGAGAAAGGAAAGUUUUUGAAGUUUCUAUAUUUAUGUUGAAAAUCUGGGGGAUUCUUUUUCGGGGAGAGUCACUGUUUUUUAGGUUUCAAAACUUUGGAGAAAAGAAUAGAUGAUAAAAUUUUUGGGGUAAGAGGAGGGAGGUUGAAAAUUCUAGGGUUCUAAGUUGGGGGUCCUUUUUUUUUUUCUUUUGUUAGCUUUUCGAGGGAGAGAUUUAGAAAUUGGGAGUCAAAAUUUGGGUUCUUUCAUAGAAGUUUUGGGGGGCUCUUCUCUCUUCUCUCCAAGGGGUUUCGAAAUCUCUAAGAGGUAAAGGAUAAAGGGACGCUCCGUUGGUGGUGGACGUCGCGAGAUUCCAGUAGCGAUGACUUCACUGAUAGCUCCUUCAUCCCGUUUUGCUGCCCAAGAACAGACUUUUUCUCCACAUAUUUCAUGGUGGGCAAACACGGCUCCCUCCUCGCGUCCAAUCCGAAAGAUAAUCCAAGAUGAAUAUAUAACGUAUGGCUAUAAAGAGUGGAAAGAAGGGGAGUGGGUUGAAAUCCUACCAUUGAAGAGCCUAAGGGACUUGAAAGUCUCAGUGUCCAUUUCAGUCAUUUAUUUAGAUAUUUAUUGUUGUCGUUAUCUAUUCCGUUAUUUACUCUCAUUCAUUCAUUUGGGGCCUCGAAGACAAAAUUGUAAAUUAAUACAGGUGAAGUGAGACUCGAGUUAAAGGCUCGGAAACAUAGAAAUAGGAUAGGUGAAGAUGGGUCAAAGACCGAACUAGAAUAGGACAAGGACGACGGUUUGGGCCUUAAAGCCUAAAUCACUAUUUCUCCCCUUUCCCCUUUU
Long non-coding RNA from Capsicum annuum, 1542 nucleotides. RefSeq lists it as uncharacterized. The record is from RefSeq and is a predicted model, not a curated record. Lineage: Eukaryota; Viridiplantae; Streptophyta; Magnoliopsida; Solanales; Solanaceae. The transcript has 2 exons.